This 108-nucleotide small nucleolar RNA is filed under the name Erinaceus europaeus (western European hedgehog). Its description in RNAcentral is "Small nucleolar RNA U3 (ENSEEUG00000023671.1)". The record is from RNAcentral. Lineage: Eukaryota; Metazoa; Chordata; Mammalia; Eulipotyphla; Erinaceidae.
AAGACUGUGCUUUCAGGGAUCAUUUCUGUAGUUUGUUACAAGGAGGAGACUUGCACAGGGAAUGUCAAGGCAGGUGGGAGGCAGACAGUCCAGGAGCACAGGGUCCAU